UACGUAGGGCGCAAGCGUUGUCCGGAAUUAUUGGGCGUAAAGAGCUCGUAGGCGGCUUGUCACGUCGAUUGUGAAAGCCCGAGGCUUAACCUCGGGUCUGCAGUCGAUACGGGCUAGCUAGAGUGUGGUAGGGGAGAUCGGAAUUCCUGGUGUAGCGGUGAAAUGCGCAGAUAUCUGGAGGAACACCGGUGGCGAAGGCGGCAUCCUGGACCGGUAUUGACACUGAGGCGCGAAAGCCAGGGAGCAA
RNAcentral lists this ribosomal RNA (247 nucleotides) under uncultured bacterium. Its description in RNAcentral is "partial 16S ribosomal RNA". It matches the Rfam family "Bacterial small subunit ribosomal RNA", at positions 524 to 771 of the family's 1533-position model. The record is from RNAcentral.